RNAcentral lists this microRNA precursor (200 nucleotides) under Corchorus olitorius. RNAcentral describes it as "MIR159 microRNA precursor family". It matches the Rfam family "MIR159 microRNA precursor family". Lineage: Eukaryota; Viridiplantae; Streptophyta; Magnoliopsida; Malvales; Malvaceae. The record is from Rfam by way of RNAcentral.
GAAGGCGAAAAGGAGCUCUUCUUCAGUCCAGUCCGAGGCAGCGGAGGGCUAUACUUGGCUGCUGACUCGUUGGUUCACAAGCUCAUCAUCAUCAAAGUUCAAACAAAUUAUGCAUGUGUUUCUGAUCCAACGAUGCAGGAGCUGCGUUCAGCUCUACCCUAUCACGUCUUGGACUGAAGGGAGCUCCCUUUUUAUUAUCA